GACGAACGCUGGCGGCGUGCUUAACACAUGCAAGUCGAACGGACGGGCCCUGCUUUUGUGCGUUGCUCGAGUGGCGAACGGGUGAGUAACACGUGAGUAACCUGCCCUUGACUUUGGGAUAACUUCAGGGAACUGGGGCUAAUACCGGAUAGGAGCUCCUGCUGCAUGGUGGGGGUUGGAAAGUUUCGGCGGUGGUGGAUGGACUCGCGGCUUAUCAGCUUGUUGGUGGGGUAGUGGAUUACCAAGGCUUUGACGGGUAGCCGGCCUGAGAGGGUGACCGGCCACAUGGGGACUGCGAUAGGGCGCAGACGCCUACGGGACGCAGCAGUGGGGAAUAUUGCACAAUGGGCGGAAGCCUGAUGCAGCAACGCCGCGUGCGGGAUGACGGCCUUCGGGUUGUAAACCGCUUUCGCCUGUGCCGAAGCGUGAGUGACGGUAAUGGGUAAAGAAGCACCGGCUAACUACGUG
This 468-nucleotide ribosomal RNA is filed under the name uncultured bacterium. Its description in RNAcentral is "partial 16S ribosomal RNA". It matches the Rfam family "Bacterial small subunit ribosomal RNA", at positions 28 to 507 of the family's 1533-position model. The record is from RNAcentral.